GCUUGCACCUGGUGGCGAGUGGCGAACGGGUGAGUAAUAUAUCGGAACGUACCCGGCAAUGGGGGAUAACGUAGCGAAAGUUACGCUAAUACCGCAUAUGCCCUGAGGGGGAAAGCGGGGGAUCGAAAGACCUCGCGUUGUCGGAGCGGCCGAUAUCGGAUUAGCUAGUUGGUGGGGUAAAGGCCUACCAAGGCGACGAUCCGUAGCUGGUCUGAGAGGACGACCAGCCACACUGGGACUGAGACACGGCCCAGACUCCUACGGGAGGCAGCAGUGGGGAAUUUUGGACAAUGGGGGAAACCCUGAUCCAGCCAUGCCGCGUGAGUGAAGAAGGCCUUCGGGUUGUAAAGCUCUUUCGGACAGAAAGAAAUCGCAUCUACUAAUACUAGGUGUGGAUGACGGUACUGUAAGAAGAAGCACCGGCUAACUACGUGCCAGCAGCCGCGGUAAUACGUAGGGUGCGAGCGUUAAUCGGAAUUACUGGGCGUAAAGCGUGCGCAGGCGGUUUCGUAAGACAGAUGUGAAAUCCCCGGGCUUAACCUGGGAACUGCAUUUGUGACUGCGAGACUAGAGUGUGGCAGAGGGGGGUAGAAUUCCACGUGUAGCAGUGAAAUGCGUAGAGAUGUGGAGGAAUACCGAUGGCGAAGGCAGCCCCCUGGGCCAACACUGACGCUCAUGCACGAAAGCGUGGGGAGCAAACAGGAUUAGAUACCCUGGUAGUCCACGCCCUAAACGAUGUCAACUAGUUGUUGGGGAAGGAGACUUCCUUAGUAACGCAGCUAACGCGUGAAGUUGACCGCCUGGGGAGUACGGUCGCAAGAUUAAAACUCAAAGGAAUUGACGGGGACCCGCACAAGCGGUGGAUUAUGUGGAUUAAUUCGAUGCAACGCGAAAAACCUUACCUACCCUUGACAUGCCAGGAACUUUCCAGAGAUGGAUUGGUGCCCGAAAGGGAACCUGGACACAGGUGCUGCAUGGCUGUCGUCGGGUCGUGUCGUGAGAUGUUGGGUUAAGUCCCGCAACGAGCGCAACCCUUGCCAUUAAUUGCCAUCAUUCAGUUGGGCACUUUAAUGGGACUGCCGGUGAUGAACCGGAGGAAGGUGGGGAUGACGUCAAGUCCUCAUGGCCCUUAUGGGUAGGGCUUCACACGUAAUACA
RNAcentral lists this ribosomal RNA (1157 nucleotides) under uncultured Rhodocyclales bacterium. Its description in RNAcentral is "bacterial SSU rRNA". It matches the Rfam family "Bacterial small subunit ribosomal RNA", at positions 78 to 1229 of the family's 1533-position model. Lineage: Bacteria; Pseudomonadati; Pseudomonadota; Betaproteobacteria; Rhodocyclales. The record is from RNAcentral.